RNAcentral lists this long non-coding RNA (1042 nucleotides) under Nicotiana benthamiana. RNAcentral's name for it is "long non-coding RNA (NBEN_LNC017479)". Lineage: Eukaryota; Viridiplantae; Streptophyta; Magnoliopsida; Solanales; Solanaceae. The record is from RNAcentral.
UGAUGUGAAAUAGAUAGUCUUUGCUUUGAAGAAGACCUUCCCAGGCGUGUUCGAAGUUCACCUGGUUUGUAAAAUAGGUAUAUAAAUAAAAUUAUGUGACCAUUAGCUCCGUAUCAAGAUUUAAACUUUAUGAAUUCAGAUUUGCAAUCGUUGUUAUUAUUUUCUUUCUGACAUCUUCUGUUUUUUUAUAACCAUGUAAACAUUACCAUUGACAAACAAAUACUUACACUUAAAGAGCACUUGGUCUCGCACAUACAGAGAUCAAGCCUCCAACAGACAAACAAUAAAAGACUAAUUACAUUUGCAGUUGCUCUAUGAAGUUCCUACAUUUAUGAGUUUUCUGAGAAGAACUAAUUGUAUCUACUCUAGCCUUUUCUUUUGUUUCUUUUCUAAUAUUAUUGCCACUCCUGAUGAGCCGAGAGUCUCCUGAAAACAGCCUCUCUAUCCUUUUCGGGAUAGGUGUAAGGUCCACGUACACUCUACUCUAGUAAAAAUUUACUGGAUAUUUGUUGUUAUUGAGUUCAGAUUGCAAUACUACCAUAUCUUAUCUAAAUAAUAUGUUCAAAAUUUAUUAUUUGUAUAUAUUUAUGAUUUUUUGGAUAAAAAUAUAGGGUAUGUAAGUGUAAAGAAAUAGCAUAAGAAUGGUAUUAUUCGGAGACCUUCUGCUAGCCCAAGAUCGUUAGAUAAUAUUGGAGGAUUCAACUAAAGAAGAGGAAGCUUGAAAGAGAGAAGAAAUGUUUUGGAAAGGAGAACUUUGUUUAGGAAAGAAGGCUUUCUUGAUUUGGCUUGCUUACAAAUGAACAAGACACCCCCUAUUUAUACUAGCCUAUGGAUGAUUCUAGAUAUGAUUCUAGAUAAUGUACAAGGGUUCUACUCAACCAUCGCACAGGCAAAUGCUGUAAAAAAAUAGUAGAAGAAGAGUAUUAUUCAGAGACCUUCUGCUAGCCCAAGAUCGUUAGAUAAUAUUGGAGGAUUCAACUAAAGAAGGAAGCUUGAAAGAGAGAAAAAAUAUUUUGGAAACGAGAACUUUAUUUAGGAAAGA